RNAcentral lists this ribosomal RNA (419 nucleotides) under bacterium. RNAcentral's name for it is "partial 16S ribosomal RNA". It matches the Rfam family "Bacterial small subunit ribosomal RNA", at positions 355 to 776 of the family's 1533-position model. The record is from RNAcentral.
UGGGGGAUAUUGCACAAUGGGCGAAAGCCUGAUGCAGCGACGCCGCGUGGGGGAUGAAGGCCUUCGGGUUGUAAACUUCUUUUGCUCUGAACAAGGCGCACCAUGGGGUGUGUUGAGUGUAGGGGUUGAUUAGCGCCGGCUAACUACGUGCCAGCAGCCGCGGUAAUACGUAGGGCGCGAGCGUUGUCCGGAAUUAUUGGGUGUAAAGGGCUUGUAGGUGGCUGGUUGCGUCUGUCGUUAAAGCUCAUGGCUUAACUGUGGGUUUGCGGUGGGUACGGGCUGGCUUGAGUGCAGUAGGGGAGGCUGGAAGUCCUGGUGUAGCGGUGGAAUGCGCAGAUAUCAGGAGGAAUACCGGUGGCGAAGGCGGGUCUCUGGGCUGUUACUGACACUGAGGAGCGAAAGCAUGGGGAGCGAACAGG